Myxocyprinus asiaticus (Chinese sucker) is the source of this 1533-nucleotide long non-coding RNA. RefSeq lists it as uncharacterized. The transcript is spliced from 3 exons. NCBI's taxonomy places the organism in Eukaryota, Metazoa, Chordata, Actinopteri, Cypriniformes, Catostomidae. The record is from RefSeq and is a predicted model, not a curated record.
GGAACAGAGAGUUCUGCUGGUAAACCUCUAAACCCAAAAUACGGUUUAGAAAUUUGGUGAUGCUGCAGUCUGGGAACAGAAAGAAUCAAAUUAUGCACCUGGGUGACUAGGAACAUGAAAUUGUUCAGCCAUGACGUCCUGUUUCAGAGGGGUGUAAAUAUGAGGGCAGUAAUUAAGAAGUUCCAGUCAACUGGAGAUGUUAAGAAUCGACCUGGAAGAGGACGUGUGACUAUAUUGUCUCCAUGCAGGGUGAGGAGGAUGGUUCGAGUGGCCAAAAAUUCUCCAAGGAUCACAGCUGGCGAAUUGCAGGAAUUAGUUGGGUCUUGGGGUCAGAAAGUCUCCAAAACUACAAUCAGAUGUCAUCUUCAUCACAACAAGUUGUUUGGGAGGGUUUCAAUAAAAAAAGCCUCUGCUCUCAUCCAACAACAAACGCAAGCAUCUUCAGUUUGCCAGACACUACUGGAACUUCAAAUGGGACCGGGUUCUAUGGUCAGAUAAAACAAAAAUAGAGCUUUUUGGAAGCAAACACCAGAGAUGGGUUUGGCGCACACAGAGAGGUAGCCAUAUGGAAAAGUACCUCAUGCCAACAGUUAAAUAUGGGGGUGGAUCUUUAAUGUUGUGGGGCUGUUUUUAUGCCAGAGGUCCUGGACAUCUUGUCUGGAUACAUGGCAUCAUGGACUCUAUCAUAUACCAACAGAUAUAAAAUCAAAACCUGACUGCCUCUGCCAGAAAGCUUAAAAUAGGCCCUGGUUGGAUCUUCCAGCAGGACACUGAUCCAAAACACACAUCAAAAUCAACACAAAAAUGGUUCACUGACCACAAAAUCAAGGUUCUGCCAUGGUCAUCCCAGUCCCCUGACCUGAACCCCAUAGAAAACCUGUGUGGUGAACUGAAGAGGGGAGUCCACCAACAUGGACCUCUGAAUUUGAAGGAUCUGGAAAAAUUCUGUAUGGAGGAAAGUCUCAGAUCACUUGCCAUGUGUUCUCCAACCUCAUUAGGCAUUAUAGGAGAAGACUCGGAGCUUUUAUAUUGGCAAAGGGAGGUUGCACAAAGUAUUGAAUAAGAGGGUGCCAAUAAUUGUGCCACACAUAUAUUUGACAAACAUAUUUGUUUUUUGAUAAAACUUGUGUUGUGUUUGCAAUUGUUUGAUAUCUAUCUGAGGAGAAUUUUGAAUGAAAGACCACAAGGAUAAACAAUAAGGAUAUAUUUUUCACAGCCUUCUUUUCUCAUAUUUACCAAGGGUGCCAAUAUUUUUGGCCACCACUGUAAAAGUAUGAAUUACAUGUAGAAUGAAUGAAGUAUUUCAAAAGAGCAGGGAUGGUUAGGGUCAGUGGUUGGUGUAUGGUGUUUGUGGGACUCAAUAAACACAAUAAACAUGCUGCAGUGACACCCCUAUACUGUAUGGUGGUAUUUAAUUGGGGUGCAAAUAGCAUCUAACACUAUUUGCCCUUACUGCAAAGAGGACGCUUUUUGUUGCUAUUUACACUAAGCAUCAAAAGUCUCCGCCUUCUGUAUUUAUUUUAUAAUUUUAAG